Molecule: ribosomal RNA, 164 nt
Filed under: uncultured bacterium
Lineage: Bacteria
Description: partial 16S ribosomal RNA
Rfam family: Bacterial small subunit ribosomal RNA
Source: RNAcentral
UGGGGAAUUUUGGACAAUGGGCGCAAGCCUGAUCCAGCCAUGCCGCGUGAGUGAAGAAGGGCCUUCGGGUUGUAAAGCUCUUUCGGCCGGGAAGAAAUCGUGGGUCUCUAACAUAGGCCAUGGAUGACGGUACCGGACUAAGAAGCACCGGCUAACUACGUGCC